GAUGAACGCUAGCGGGAGGCUUAACACAUGCAAGUCGAGGGGCAGCAUAGGGUAGCAAUACUCUGAUGGCGACCGGCAAACGGGUGAGUAACGCGUAUGUAACCUACCCUGUACAGGGGGAUAACCCGGAGAAAUUCGGACUAAUAUCCCAUAACAAUAUCCGGGGGCAUCUUUGGACAUUUAAAGUUCCGGCGGUACGGGAUGGGCAUGCGUAACAUUAGCUAGUUGGUAAGGUAACGGCUUACCAAGGCUUUGAUGUUUAGGGGUCCUGAGAGGGUGGUCCCCCACACUGGUACUGAGACACGGACCAGACUCCUACGGGAGGCAGCAGUGAGGAAUAUUGGUCAAUGGGCGCAAGCCUGAACCAGCCAUCCCGCGUGCAGGAAGACGGCGCUAUGCGUUGUAAACUGCUUUUCCAGGGAGAGAAACUUGCGCACGUGUUGCGCAAUUGACGGUACCCUGGGAAUAAGCAUCGGCUAACUCCGUGCCAGCAGCCGCGGUAAUCUGU
This 508-nucleotide ribosomal RNA is filed under the name uncultured bacterium. RNAcentral's name for it is "bacterial SSU rRNA". It matches the Rfam family "Bacterial small subunit ribosomal RNA", at positions 28 to 528 of the family's 1533-position model. The record is from RNAcentral.